UUGAACGCUGGCGGCAUGCCUUACACAUGCAAGUCGAACGGCAGCACGGGGGCAACCCUGGUGGCGAGUGGCGAACGGGUGAGUAAUACAUCGGAACGUGCCCUGAAGUGGGGGAUAACGUAGCGAAAGUUACGCUAAUACCGCAUAUUCUGUGAGCAGGAAAGCAGGGGAUCGCAAGACCUUGCGCUGAUUGAGCGGCCGAUAUCAGAUUAGCUAGUUGGUGAGGUAAAAGCUCACCAAGGCGACGAUCUGUAGCGGGUCUGAGAGGAUGAUCCGCCACACUGGAACUGAGACACGGUCCAGACUCCUACGGGAGGCAGCAGUGGGGAAUUUUGGACAAUGGGGGCAACCCUGAUCCAGCCAUGCCGCGUGAGUGAAGAAGGCCUUCGGGUUGUAAAGCUCUUUCAGCCGGGAAGAAAAUGUACGGGCUAAUACCCUGUGCAGAUGACGGUACCGGCAUAAGAAGCACCGGCUAACUACGU
Molecule: ribosomal RNA, 482 nt
Filed under: uncultured bacterium
Lineage: Bacteria
Description: bacterial SSU rRNA
Rfam family: Bacterial small subunit ribosomal RNA
Source: RNAcentral